CCAUCAGUACCUAAUUUAUUGAGAGUUUUUAGCAUGAAGGGCUGUUGAAUUUUGUCAAAGGCCUUUUCUGCAUCUAUUGAGAUAAUCAUCUGGUUUUUGUCUUUGGUUCUGUUUAUAUGCUGGAUUACAUUUAUUGAUUUUCAUAUGUUGAACCAGCCUUGCAUCCCAGGGAUGAAGCCCACUUGAUCAUGGUGGAUAAGCUUUUUGAUGUGCUGCUGGAUUCGGUUUGCCAGUAUUUUAUUGAGGAUUUUUGCAUCAAUGUUCAUCAAGGAUAUUAGUCUAAAAUUCUCUUUUUUUGUUGUGUCUCUGCCAGGCUUUGGUAACAGGAUGAUGCUGGCCUCAUAAAAUGAGUUAGGGAGGAUUCCCUCUUUUUCUACUGAUUGGAAUAGUUUCAGAAGGAAUGGUACCAGUUCCUCCUUGUACCUCUGGUAGAAUUCGGCUGUGAAUCCAUCUGGUCCUUGACUUUUUUUGAUUAAAUUAGUUGAUAACGUCUUCCAGGAGACCUACGGCCAUCCUACUGAUAUGAACCAGAUCAUACCUGCCCUGAUGGGAUGCCAGAGAAAGACUGCUGCAAGGUACGCGCCACUCACAGACCUCUCCAUUUAUCUCACUGAUGCAAAGGACCCUGAGUAGGGAUCCUCUGGAAACAGAACAGAGGGAAGAAGAUACCUUCCCUGAAGCCCAGAUGUUCCAGAAGCCUGCGCCUCAUUCACAAAGUCACCCCAAAAAUGCCCUAGAGUUUGGAGUUUUGAAGAAGCGGGAAGAAGGCCUGAGUAAGGGCCUGGGAACCAAGUUAGAUCCUACUUCAGCAUCAGCACAUGCCAGCGAUGGUGCACACAGGUGGAGAGCGGCCUGCCCGUCUUUUCCAUGGUGCCCACAGACCCAUUUAGGAUGAAAGAUCAGAAAAUUCUCUCCAUGUCACCGCUUCUGAAACAUGUGAAUAUUAAUAUUUGGUGCCUAAAAGGCCAUGGCAAAUUUUCAUUGGUUUUAUCUUAUUCAUGAUUAUAGAGUUGAAAGAAUACAUAUUCCCAUGGGGAUCAAUGAAGACAUUCUCAUUUUGAAUGAAGUAGAAUAUAAGUUGUAAAGAUAUAGAAUUUUCCUGAACUGAACCUUGAACCAAAAAUCCCCUCAAUUAACCUGGAACUAAACACAGUCCCUGAAGAUAACAAGGAGUUUCAGGAUGCCACAGGGCUGUCUGUGCAGUAUGGGGCUUCUUGCUCUAUCUCUGGUAUCUGAGGCAGAUAGGCUACUCAGGCCCCUCUCUGGUCUCAAGGUGGGCUGGCUGAGAUGUCAGUUUCUUCCUCAGUGACAGCUUGGGUACAGUAUGUGUAAACUGAUUGUCAGCUGAGCUGAAGGGACUCUGCCCAUAUUGGAGUGUUCUACAAGAAGAGGUGUCAAACCUAAAGGUCUAAAAUUACUAUGAAAGGAGUAUUGGAAACCACUGGGACAAUUGUGAUCACAACUGGUGGUAGCCUUCUCGUUUGGGUGAGAAAGACAGAAAGGAGGAAGAUGUGUUAGUCAAGGUUCUCUAGAGGGACAAAACUAAUAGGAUAUAUGUAUAUAUGAGAGGGAGUUUAUUAAGGAGAAUUGACUCACUUGAUCACAAGGUAAAGUCCCAAGAUAGGCUGUCUGCAAGUUGAGGAGCAAGGAAGUCAUUGGUGGAUUGUUCUGGGUACCAAAACCUCAAAAGUAGGGAAAUCGACAGUGCAGCCUUCAGUCUGUGGUCAAAGGCUCGAGGGGCCCUGGCAGACCACUGGUGUAAGUCCAAGAGUCCCAGAAGCUGAAGAACUUGGAGUCUGAUGUUUGAGGGCAGGAAGCAUCCAGCACAGGAGAAAGACGGAUGCUGGAAGACUUAGCAAGUCUGUUCUUUCCAAUUUCUUCUGCCUGCUUUUAUUCUAGCCAUGCUGGCAGCUGAUUAGAUGGUGCCCUCCCAAAUUGAGGGUGGCUGUGCCUCUCCCAGUCCACUGACUCAAAUGUUAAUCUCCUUUGGCAACACCCUCACAGACACACCCAGGAACAAUACUUUGCAUCCUUCAUUCCAAUCAAGUUGACACUCAAUAUUAACCAUCACAGAAGGAGAAUUUCAGGCUGAGUCCAAACACUAUGGCCCCAGCCCCAGCUUCCCCUUUCUGGGUUGAAUAACCAGACUGAGCCUAAGAAAAGGAAAAGAGUUGACUUUCUCCCAAAAGGCCUGCAGCGGGUUAGAAAGCAAUGGUUUGGGGACCAUACUGAGUGCCUAGGAUGCUCUGGACCACAAAGCUUGAAGUCAAAUUGUUCAUGCACUUGUUUCAUGAUAGGAAGAGAGAGAGAGAGAGAGAGAGAGAGAGAGAAAUUUCCUUUCCUUGAAGAAUGGCAAAACACGUCUCUUGUUCUGGGGGCUAUAUCUUGAAGGGUAUCUGAUCUCCCCCUCAUGGGAGGAACUAGAAUGCCCUAAGGCAGCCGUGGCUCCUGGAGCUGAGAGAUCUUUCUGACACUUUGUGAGAGCUGCAAGGCUAAGUCUGGAGCCAGAAAAGUCCAUGUGGACAAGUGCAGAGCAAGCAGAUCUGAGACACAUGUGGGAGCAAGCUGGACAUGUCCAAAAGUCAGAGGAAGCAAGAGCAGACAUGCAUGAGCAGGCAGAUGAGGCUGGUGCCCAGGCAGCAGGCUGAGGCUCUGGCUGGGCUUUGGAUGCUCCUGAGAGUCCAGUUAGAGACCAGUGAGCAAACCCACAGUGAACUCUUAUUCCUCACGCAGCAGGACGAGGGAUUAAGCACAAAGCCUUAAAGGUCUGAGUGUCUCUUUAUCCUGACCUCAGGAAAGAGAGGCAAGUAUCAUGUUUCUAAAAGUCUGAGAAGUCUUCACAUGACAGCCUACACCAAAAGAACUCAAAUGCACAUCCACUGCAUACACGCAUGUGUGCACACAUAUACAUGUGUACACAUGCAUGCCCACACACAACCCUCUGGAAGAGGAAGUAAAGAGACUUUAUGUUUUCAGCCCCUCUUGAGGAAACUUAAACUAAGUCUUUCUGUGGGGUUAGUGGUGGAGACAGAGAGGGUCUGGGGUCACCGAGGCCGAGGUGGCUGGACCCAGAGGGUAGAGCUGAGGGGAUCCCCUGAGACUGGGAAGAUGGAGCAGAAGCAGAUGGCAGAUGGCAGCAGGUGAGAGCAGACUGGAUUUCUCCUAAAUCACCAGAUCCAGCCAACCUUUCUUUCCUUAGGGACACCUCUAGAUCCCAUUCCAAAUGAACUCUUUCUCUGACCUUUCACCUCAAUUCAGAAUUUGGGAAAUUUAGCCAUGAUCUUAGGAACACAGAGGCUUGAAACAAUCUUUUCUAACCACCCGUUUGUUCAGACUGUGUAAGUUCUGCUUCUGCAUCCAGUGUCAACACCCAAGAACCAUUUUAAAGGGGAGCCAUCCUUUGAAAUUAAACUUCUUUUAAUAAUAAAGACAGAUUUCAGGGUUGACAUAAAAGAUAGCCACAGUAAAGCCAAUCCUCCAGUGUAUAACAUUUUUCAAAGUUUCCUUCCUCUUCAUUGCUGGUGUUCAUGUACAGUCCAGAGUUAGUCUACAUUAAAUUAUAGAUUGUUUUCAGCAAUAAUGCAAACAUUUGGAAGCCUUCAAACUCUCUGAUAACUAACUUCUACAUUCUCUCUGCUAUUAUUAUAUAGAAAGGGAAAUUUUACCUGAUGCUGUUAAAGUCCUCACGAACAUAGUGAUCCGAAUUGGCUGAAGUGGAAAACUAAAUGUUAGCUGAUUUUCAAAACAAGAUUUCCACUCUGAAUUCCCAUUUUUCACAUGUGAUCAUAUGCCUUGUUGUGAAGUUGAACUAAAAAGAAACUCCAUGCCCACUGGCUUAAUGCUAGAAGAUAAUCUACAGCAUAGUAAUUUCUUAGACUUCACUUUAUUAGCCACUAAACUUGGAAUGAUUAUUUCUAUGUUCAAUUAUUAAGUCUAUAUCUCCAUUUCUUAAAAAGGUCUGAGGCAGCCCCUUUGAAUAUUAAUACGCAUUUAUUUUCACCUCUCAAAUAAAA
This 4013-nucleotide long non-coding RNA is filed under the name Homo sapiens (human). RNAcentral's name for it is "HSALNT0089430". Lineage: Eukaryota; Metazoa; Chordata; Mammalia; Primates; Hominidae. The record is from RNAcentral.